This 585-nucleotide ribosomal RNA is filed under the name uncultured bacterium. Its description in RNAcentral is "partial 16S ribosomal RNA". It matches the Rfam family "Bacterial small subunit ribosomal RNA", at positions 355 to 1375 of the family's 1533-position model. The record is from RNAcentral.
UGGGGAAUUUUGGACAAUGGGCGAAAGCCUGAUCCAGCAAUGCCGCGUGUGUGAAGAAGGCCUUCGGGUUGUAAAGCACUUUUGUCCGGAAAGAAAUCCUUGGCUCUAAUACAGUCGGGGGAUGACGGUACCGGAAGAAUAAGCACCGGCUAACUACGUGCCAGCAGCCGCGGUAAUACGUAGGGUGCAAGCGUUAAUCGGAAUUACUGGGCGUAAAGCGUGCGCAGGCGGUUUGCUAAGACCGAUGUGAAAUCCCCGGGCUCAACCUGGGAACUGCAUUGGUGACUGGCAGGCUAGAGUAUGGCAGAGGGGGUAGAAUUCCACGUGUAGCAGUGAAAUGCGUAGAGAUGUGGAGGAAUACCGAUGGCGAAGGCAGCCCCCUGGGCCAAUACUGACGCUCAUGCACGAAAGCGUGGGGAGCAAACAGGAUUAGAUACCCUGGUAGUCCACGCCCUAAACGAUGUCAACUAGUUGUUGGGGAUUCAUUUCCUUAGUAACGUAGCUAACGCGUGAAGUUGGACCGCCUGGGGAGUACGGUCGCAAGAUUAAAACUUAAAUGAAUUGACGGGGUCAUAGCUGUUUCCU